Molecule: long non-coding RNA, 1363 nt
Organism: Pecten maximus
Lineage: Eukaryota; Metazoa; Mollusca; Bivalvia; Pectinida; Pectinidae
Exons: 4
Source: RefSeq, a predicted model, not a curated record
CUUAAAUUUGAUGUGAAAGACGUACAGCUAUAUUUUCUUCUGGAAUAUCUGGGACUAAUUUGCCUUGGAUUAUUACAAAAUGUUGUUGGACUAAUUAUAUUAUUCUUGAUCAAGGUUGUAUGAGACGGCACCCACAACUGACGACACUAUGAUAUUACAGGUAGCCGUGUUAGUAGGGUGUUACGUAUCCACGCAUCCGUAGAUUUGACUAUUCCGUUUCAUCCUGACUACGAAGCGAGCGUGAUAGAUUUGUUCAUAUUCAUCCCACAAACGGAGCCUCUGAAGAUGAAAGCAGGGUGUUCCCGAUAUAUGCAAAUGAGUGUCCAGUACAGGUGUCCUCCGAUGACAAGGGCAUAUAGUCUACAAUAAACAUCGAAGCAGGUACGUAUAUAAAGCAUUUAAAUCCAUUUUUGUGCUCUUCUCUAUCUGAUAUUCCAAUUAUCAUAAUGAAAAGGUGAUAAUAUCUUGUUAGUCUAUUGUUCAACCUUGUAUGUAUGUGAAAAGAACAAACAACAUAUGGAAAAUCAUAAUAUUAUUGUCUGGUUUCAAGGAUUGACCUGUGUCAUUUCUUUUUAUUAUUCAUUAACUUUUAUGUGAUGUUUUUUGCUAGUUCACAGAUGUACAUUUCUGAGGUUAUACCGACAAUCCCUAAGCUCCACGUGGUUUUGAGAUCCCUUAGGCUCCACGUGGUUAUGGGAAAUGUACUGGAACCCCACGUAGCUAGGCGAGAUAUCUCGCCACUCCCAGAAGAGGGCAGAAUGUGUACCUGUGGUCUAAAAGGUGACCUCUAUAUACGUAUAUCCUUACUUAACCGUCAGGUGGAAAGUAUUUAUAACUAUAAACGUGUUCAUUCAUAAAAGCUGUGACGUCACUGGGGCAUUUGUCUGUCGCUCUACCGGUCUACGUUUGAGUUUAGUAAACACGCGGUGUCUUUAUCUUGUUUAAUACAGAGGACAACUGUACAGUAACGGGGACAGUUUGUGGGGGUUGGACAAGUCCAGUAUAACAUUCAAACUCAUUAUUUAUUGCCAAUUUAUUUACAUUGAAACUCAAAUGUAAACACCAACACACAUAAAUCUUCCCAACGGAAAAUAACUGUACAAGUUUUGUCCCCCGAUAAAUUUUAACGGACACCUAUAUCCUAAUGCAUAGAUACGACCUAGAGUAGACUUUAAUGUUACACACUGAUAUUUCCAAAUUAUUCUAAGUUGGUGGGGAAAUUAGCUGAAUAGUUUUUUUAUUUUCCAUAACUAAGCUUUGGUAAAAUCUCGAUUAAUUUGUGAUUUUCUUAACUGUAUUCUCACAUAAAAGUACUCUAAAAAGUAAGCUCGAUCGCAAGCAGCAAUAUAUUGUUCUUUAUUAC